This 415-nucleotide ribosomal RNA is filed under the name uncultured prokaryote. RNAcentral's name for it is "bacterial SSU rRNA". It matches the Rfam family "Bacterial small subunit ribosomal RNA", at positions 505 to 918 of the family's 1533-position model. The record is from RNAcentral.
GUGUCAGCCGCCGCGGUAAUACGGAGGGUGCAAACGUUGCUCGGAAUUAUUGGGCGUAAAGCGCGCGUAGGCGGCCGCAUAAGUCUGAUGUGAAAGCCCAGGGCUCAACCCUGGAAAGCCAUUGGAAACUGUGCGGCUUGAGAACAGGAGGGGUAGGUGGAAUUCCUGGUGUAGGAGUGAAAUCCGUAGAGAUCAGGAGGAACACCGGUGGCGAAGGCGACCUACUGGACUGGAUCUGACGCUGCGGCGCGAAAGCGUGGGGAGCAAACAGGAUUAGAUACCCUGGUAGUCCACGCUGUAAACGAUGUUCACUAGCUGCUUGUUGCCUCAGUGCGACAGGUGGCGAAGCCAACGCAUUAAGUGAACCGCCUGGGGAGUACGGCCGCAAGGUUAAAACUCAAAGGAAUUGAUGGGG